UGGUCAGGAGGUUUAUUGGGCCUAAAGCAUCCGUAGCCGGUUGCAUAAGUUUUCGGUUAAAUCUAUGCGCUUAACGUAUAGGCCGCCGAAAAUACUGUGCAGCUAGGGAGUGGGAGAGGUACACGGUACUCGAUAGGAAGGGGUAAAAUCCUUUGAUCUAUUGAUGACCACCUGNNNNNAAGGCGGUGUACCAGAACACGUUCGACGGUGAGGGAUGAAAGCUGGGGGAGCAAACCGGAUUAGAUACCCGGGUAGUCCCAGCUGUAAACGAUGCAGACUCGGUGAUGCAUUGGCUUGUGGCCAAUGCAGUGCCGCAGGGAAGCCGUUAAGUCUGCCGCCUGGGAAGUACGUACGCAAGUAUGAAACUUAAAGNNAUUGGNNGGNNANCACCANNNNGGGUGAAGCCUGCGGUUCANNNGGAGUCAACGNCAGAAAUCUUA
This 440-nucleotide ribosomal RNA is filed under the name uncultured archaeon. Its description in RNAcentral is "partial 16S ribosomal RNA". It matches the Rfam family "Archaeal small subunit ribosomal RNA", at positions 489 to 929 of the family's 1478-position model. The record is from RNAcentral.